GGUGAGUUGUCCGAGUGGUUGAAGGAGCCUGCCUCGAAAACAGGUGUACGGAAACGUACCGGGGGUUCGAAUCCCUCACUCACCG
This 85-nucleotide transfer RNA is filed under the name Bacteroidales bacterium. RNAcentral's name for it is "tRNA-Ser". It matches the Rfam family "tRNA". Rfam says of the family: Transfer RNA (tRNA) molecules are approximately 80 nucleotides in length. Their secondary structure includes four short double-helical elements and three loops (D, anti-codon, and T loops). RNAcentral also lists the same sequence under 1 other name. Lineage: Bacteria; Pseudomonadati; Bacteroidota; Bacteroidia; Bacteroidales. The record is from RNAcentral.